RNAcentral lists this ribosomal RNA (253 nucleotides) under uncultured bacterium. Its description in RNAcentral is "partial 16S ribosomal RNA". It matches the Rfam family "Bacterial small subunit ribosomal RNA", at positions 524 to 776 of the family's 1533-position model. The record is from RNAcentral.
UACGUAGGGGGCAAGCGUUGUCCGGAUUUAUUGGGCGUAAAGAGCGUGUAGGCGGCCAGGUAGGUCAGCUGUGAAAACUCGAGGCUUAACCUCGAGCUGUCGGCGGAAACCAUCUGGCUAGAGUCCGGAAGAGGAGAAUGGAAUUCCCGGUGUAGCGGUGAAAUGCGCAGAUAUCGGGAAGAACACCCGUGGCGAAGGCGGUUCUCUGGGACGGUACUGACGCUGAGACGCGAAAGCGUGGGGAGCGAACAGG